RNAcentral lists this ribosomal RNA (274 nucleotides) under uncultured bacterium. RNAcentral describes it as "partial 16S ribosomal RNA". It matches the Rfam family "Bacterial small subunit ribosomal RNA", at positions 523 to 796 of the family's 1533-position model. The record is from RNAcentral.
CUACGGAGGGUGCAAGCGUUAAUCGGAAUUACUGGGCGUAAAGCGUACGUAGGCGGUUAUUUAAGUCAGAUGUGAAAGCCCCGGGCUUAACUUGGGAACUGCAUUUGAAACUGGGUAACUAGAGUUUAGUAGAGGGGAGUGGAAUUUCAGGUGUAGCGGUGAAGUGCGUAGAGAUCUGAAGGAACACCAGUGGCGAAGGCGACUCCCUGGACUAACACUGACGCUGGGGUACGAAAGCGUGGGUAGCAAACAGGAUUAGAAACCCUAGUAGUCC